UAGGGAAUCUUCGGCAAUGGGGGCAACCCUGACCGAGCAACGCCGCGUGAGUGAAGAAGGUUUUCGGAUCGUAAAGCUCUGUUGUAAGAGAAGAACGUGUGUGAGAGUGGAAAGUUCACACAGUGACGGUAACUUACCAGAAAGGGACGGCUAACUACGUGCCAGCAGCCGCGGUAAUACGUAGGUCCCGAGCGUUGUCCGGAUUUAUUGGGCGUAAAGCGAGCGCAGGCGGUUUAAUAAGUCUGAAGUUAAAGGCAGUGGCUUAACAAUUGUUCGCUUUGGAAACUGUUAAACUUGAGUGCAGAAGGGGAGAGUGGAAUUCCAUGUGUAGCGGUGAAAUGCGUAGAUAUAUGGAGGAACAACGGUGGCGAAAGCGGCUCUCUGGUCUGUAACUGACGCUGAGGCUCGAAAGCGUGGGGAGCAAACAGG
RNAcentral lists this ribosomal RNA (429 nucleotides) under bacterium. Its description in RNAcentral is "partial 16S ribosomal RNA". It matches the Rfam family "Bacterial small subunit ribosomal RNA", at positions 355 to 776 of the family's 1533-position model. The record is from RNAcentral.